GCCGGAGUGGCGGAAUGGCAGACGCACUUGACUCAAAAUCAAGCGACCACAAAUCGUACCGGUUCAAGUCCGGUCUUCGGCACCA
This 85-nucleotide transfer RNA is filed under the name Alkalicella caledoniensis. RNAcentral describes it as "Clostridiales bacterium LB2 tRNA-Leu". It matches the Rfam family "tRNA". Rfam says of the family: Transfer RNA (tRNA) molecules are approximately 80 nucleotides in length. Their secondary structure includes four short double-helical elements and three loops (D, anti-codon, and T loops). The record is from RNAcentral. Lineage: Bacteria; Bacillati; Bacillota; Clostridia; Eubacteriales; Proteinivoracaceae.